RNAcentral lists this ribosomal RNA (926 nucleotides) under Enterococcus durans. RNAcentral's name for it is "bacterial SSU rRNA". It matches the Rfam family "Bacterial small subunit ribosomal RNA", at positions 97 to 1008 of the family's 1533-position model. Lineage: Bacteria; Bacillati; Bacillota; Bacilli; Lactobacillales; Enterococcaceae. The record is from RNAcentral.
GGCGAACGGGUGAGUAACACGUGGGUAACCUGCCCAUCAGAAGGGGAUAACACUUGGAAACAGGUGCUAAUACCGUAUAACAAUCGAAACCGCAUGGUUUUGAUUUGAAAGGCGCUUUCGGGUGUCGCUGAUGGAUGGACCCGCGGUGCAUUAGCUAGUUGGUGAGGUAACGGCUCACCAAGGCCACGAUGCAUAGCCGACCUGAGAGGGUGAUCGGCCACAUUGGGACUGAGACACGGCCCAAACUCCUACGGGAGGCAGCAGUAGGGAAUCUUCGGCAAUGGACGAAAGUCUGACCGAGCAACGCCGCGUGAGUGAAGAAGGUUUUCGGAUCGUAAAACUCUGUUGUUAGAGAAGAACAAGGAUGAGAGUAACUGUUCAUCCCUUGACGGUAUCUAACCAGAAAGCCACGGCUAACUACGUGCCAGCAGCCGCGGUAAUACGUAGGUGGCAAGCGUUGUCCGGAUUUAUUGGGCGUAAAGCGAGCGCAGGCGGUUUCUUAAGUCUGAUGUGAAAGCCCCCGGCUCAACCGGGGAGGGUCAUUGGAAACUGGGAGACUUGAGUGCAGAAGAGGAGAGUGGAAUUCCAUGUGUAGCGGUGAAAUGCGUAGAUAUAUGGAGGAACACCAGUGGCGAAGGCGGCUCUCUGGUCUGUAACUGACGCUGAGGCUCGAAAGCGUGGGGAGCAAACAGGAUUAGAUACCCUGGUAGUCCACGCCGUAAACGAUGAGUGCUAAGUGUUGGAGGGUUUCCGCCCUUCAGUGCUGCAGCUAACGCAUUAAGCACUCCGCCUGGGGAGUACGACCGCAAGGUUGAAACUCAAAGGAAUUGACGGGGGCCCGCACAAGCGGUGGAGCAUGUGGUUUAAUUCGAAGCAACGCGAAGAACCUUACCAGGUCUUGACAUCCUUUGACCACUCUAGAGAUA